UGCAGUGAGUCAGUCUGAAGCU
Molecule: microRNA, 22 nt
Filed under: Oreochromis niloticus (Nile tilapia)
Lineage: Eukaryota; Metazoa; Chordata; Actinopteri; Cichliformes; Cichlidae
Description: oni-miR-10578
Source: miRBase by way of RNAcentral